Molecule: ribosomal RNA, 180 nt
Filed under: uncultured Glomeromycotina
Lineage: Eukaryota; Fungi; Glomeromycota
Description: partial small subunit ribosomal RNA
Source: RNAcentral
GGGUCAGCAGGUUGGUCGUGCCAAUGGUAUGCACUGGCCUUGCUGAUUCCUCCCUCUUGAUGAGCCGUAAUGCCAUUAAUUUGGUGUUGCGGGGAAUCAGGACUGUUACUUUGAAAAAAUUAGAGUGUUCAAAGCAGGCGAACCUGGCAUCAUGAAUACAUUAGCAUGGGAUAAUAGAAU